Molecule: long non-coding RNA, 1348 nt
Organism: Apis florea (little honeybee)
Lineage: Eukaryota; Metazoa; Arthropoda; Insecta; Hymenoptera; Apidae
Source: RefSeq, a predicted model, not a curated record
AUUCAUGACACGUUAGAACGUCUAGAUAUCGUAGGAACGGUGGCGAUGCAAUUUUUCAUUUUAAACUUACCAUACUUAUCCAUACGUCCGAAUCCUCUUAUGCAAUGAUAUCGGGUCGGUGGGAAAGUAAUGUCGGUUUCACGAGAAAGAGAAUAUUUCAUAAAAUAGAUUUGAAGUCGUUCAUCUUACCAAAAUCAAAAUCGAUAUAAAAGCGAUAUAUAAUUUUCUACACGCAUAAAAAGGAAAUGGAGGAAAAAAAAAAAUUGUGCAGUGGAUUAGAGAAAUUAUUAUACAACCGCCUCUAUGGACGAUUCUUCGAUUCGGUCUUCUGGAUAUUUUAUUCGUUUUAUUUUUCCUAUGUAUAUAUAUAUAUAUAUAUACACAUAUAUAUUUGAUCAUGUCGUUACAUAAAUGUGCAAUUAGUGGCGCAGCUCGUGCGAACGAGGAAGCGAACGAGACUAAUAAAAAAUAAUAGUUUUAAAUACAUUUCUAUUUCGCUUUUAGAUCGGUCAAAUCUUUGUUCGAGUUCGAGUUCCGUUCACCUUUUCAUUCGUGUUCGCGAAAUAUUCACGUCGUCCAAAACCAAGGUCAAAAAUACGACGAACCAUUCGUUCGGCACGAUGCCUACUGCGCCAUUGCAAAUGCUCAUUAUUAACUAUCAUCGAUCUUUUCCAGCGGUGAUCCGGUUUCAGAUGUUUUUCUUUUUUCUUUUUGUAACAUUUUUGAAAACAGCACGAUACAAAAAAUGUUCCACUUAACAAUUGGAUUGGCACACGUGUUAAUUCAACGAAUCAUUGAAAAUCUUCCCUUCUCAAAUAAUUCUUCGGAAUGGGCUAUAAAAAGUAAAUCGAUUAACUUAAAUAUAUUCUUGUUAUAUUGUUGUUAUUUUAUAAUAAUAUAAUAUAAUAUUUAAUAAUAGAAAUUUGUAAAGUUUCCUGAUGAAAACAAUAUUGAACAUUUCCUUGGUAAAAAUACGAAUCAAAGUGUACAAAUACAAUUGUAUCAUUUCUUAAGUGACAAGAUUUAAAAGAAGAGACUGCAUAUGGACACGUGCAUCGUCGCUAUAAUAUUAUCACCGCGAUAAUAAACAGCGUGAGCAUCUGGAAGAACUGGCAAAUAUUGCGGGGAUACUUUUCAGAUAGAAAGAGAACAUUGAAUACGCCGUGUGUUGGCUGACGUCGCGAGAACGAGAAACGUAUUCGUUUCGCUGCAUUAAAACAAUAUAUUUCUACUCCUUUCUCUCGAAAGAAUCUCAUAUUCAUCCAAUCACACGGUAUUCUCGAAAAAACGAAAUCUUUCUGACUCAUCGUUACCGAUCGUAUCGAAUGUUCUCAUUUAACAGCAAAAA